RNAcentral lists this ribosomal RNA (1365 nucleotides) under metagenome. RNAcentral describes it as "bacterial SSU rRNA". It matches the Rfam family "Bacterial small subunit ribosomal RNA", at positions 8 to 1326 of the family's 1533-position model. The record is from RNAcentral.
AGAGUUUGAUUCUGGCUCAGAACGAACGCUGGCAGCGUGGAUUAGGCAUGCAAGUCGAACGGGAAGCCGUUGAUCAAUUCUUCGGAAGAGUGAAGCGGUGGAGAGUGGCGUAAGGGUGAGGAACACGUGGGCAACCUACCCUCAAGUUUGGAAUAACCCGGCGAAAGCCGAGCUAAUACCGAAUUAGGUCGCCUGUCGCAUGGCAGGAUGACUAAAGGCGGGGAUCCUGAAAGGGACCUGUCGCUUGGGGAGGGACCCGCGUCCCAUCAGCUUGUUGGUGAGGUAAUGGCUCACCAAGGCUUACGGGUAGCUGGUCUGAGAGGAUGGUCAGCCACACUGGGACUGAGACACUGCCCAGACUCCUACGGGAGGCUGCAGUCGAGGAUCAUUUGCAAUGCGCGGAAGCGUGACAAUGCGACGCUGCGUGGAGGAUGAAGGCCUUCGGGUUGUAAACUCCUGUCAUUCGGGAACAAUUUUCCCAUCGUUAAUACCUAUGGGAGUUGAUGGUACCGAAAGAGGAAGCCACGGCCAACUCUGUGCCAGCAGCCGCGGUAAUACAGAGGUGGCGAGCGUUGUUCGGAUUUACUGGGCGUAAAGCGUGCGUAGGUGGCUUUGUAUGUCGGAUGUGAAAGUCCACUGCUCAACGGUGGAAUUGCAUUCGAAACUGCGGAGCUGGAGUGCAGGAGGGGAGAGCGGAAUUCUUGGUGUAGCGGUGAAAUGUGUUGAUAUCAAGAAGAACACCGGUGGCGAAGGCGGCUCUCUAGAAUGUUACUGACGCUGAGGCACGAAAGCUGGGGGAGCGAACAGGAUUAGAUACCCUGGUAGUCCCAGCCGUAAACGGUGUGCACUUGGUGUGGGGAAGGUAUUGACCCUCCCCGUGCCGGAGCUAACGCGUUAAGUGCACCGCCUGGGGAGUACGGCCGCAAGGCUAAAACUCAGAGAAAUUGACGGGGGCCCGCACAAGCGGAGGAGCAUGUGGCUCAAUUCGAUGCAACGCGAAGAACCUUACCAGGGCUUGACAUGCAGCUGCACGUCCGAUGAAAGUCGGAUUCCUUCGAGGGUGCUGCACAGGUGCUGCAUGGCUGUCGCCAGUUCGUGCCGUGAGGUGUUGGGUUAAGUCCCGCAACGAACGCAACCCUUGUGUUUAGUUGCCACCGCAGGUGAUGAGCCUGCGAGCACUCUAGACAGACUGCCCGUACAAGCGGGAGGAAGGUGGGGACGACGUCAAGUCAGUAUGGCCCUUACGCCCUGGGCUGCACACGUGCUACAAUGGCCGGUCCAGAGAGAAGCAAUGCCGUGAGGCGGAGCAAAUCUCCAAAACCGGCCCCAGUUCGGAUUGGAGUCUGCAACUCGACUCCAUGGAGU